CUGCAGCCCGAGUGGUGAUCGAUUUUAUUGAGCCUAAAGCGUCCGUAGCCGGACUAGUAAACCCUUGGGUAAAUUGGGCAGCUUAACUGUCCAAAUUCCGAGGGGACUGCUAGUCUUGGGACCGGGAGAGGUCAGAGGUACUCAAGGGGUAGGGGCUAAAUCCUGUAAUCCUUUGGGGACCACCAGUGGCGAAGGCGCCUGACUAGAACGGAUCCGACGGUAAGGGACGAAACCCUGGGGCGCGAACCGGAUUAGAUACCCGAGUAGUCC
RNAcentral lists this ribosomal RNA (270 nucleotides) under uncultured archaeon. Its description in RNAcentral is "partial 16S ribosomal RNA". It matches the Rfam family "Archaeal small subunit ribosomal RNA", at positions 477 to 747 of the family's 1478-position model. The record is from RNAcentral.